AGAGGUUGAUCAUGGCUCAGAACGAACGCUGGCGGCGUGCUUAAUACAUGCAAGUCGAACGUGAGUCGAGCAAUGGGACUGAAAGUGGCGAACGGGUGAGUAACACGUAAGUAAUCUGCCUUUAAGAUUGGGAUAACCCUGCCAACGCGGGGCUAAUACCGGAUGUGGCCUUUUAACGCAUGUUGAGAGGAUUAAAGGAGUAGCUUAGAGAUGAACUUGCGGCCCAUUAGUUAGUUGGUCGGGUAACGGCCCACCAAGGCGAUGAUGGGUAGCCGGCCUGAGAGGGUGUACGGCCACAUUGGGACUGAGAUACGGCCCAGACUCCUACGGGAGGCAGCAGUAGGGAAUUUUGCGCAAUGGACGAAAGUCUGACGCAGCAACGCCGCGUGAAGGAUGAAGGCCCUCGGGUUGUAAACUCCUGUUGGAUGGGAAAAAAUCGUGGUACCAUUCGAGUAAGCACCGGCUAACUACGUGCCAGCAGCCGCGGUAAUACGUAGGGUGCAAGCGUUGUUCGGAAUCACUGGGCGUAAAGAGAGCGUAGGCGGGAUUGUAAGUUAGGAGUUUAAUGCAUGGGCUCAACCCAUGAUCUGCUUUUAAUACUGCAGUUCUUGAGUAUGGGAGAGGGCGAUGGAAUUCCAGGUGUAGCGGUGGAAUGCGUAGAUAUCUGGAAGAACACCAGUAGCGAAGGCGGUCGCCUGGCCUAAUACUGACGCUGAGGCUCGAAAGCUAGGGGAGCAAACAGGAUUAGAUACCCUGGUAGUCCCAGCCGUAAACGAUGAACACUAGUUGCUGGGGAGUCAAUUUUCAGUGACGAAGCUAACGCAUUAAGUGUUCCGCCUGGGAAGUACGCUCGCAAGANUGAA
RNAcentral lists this ribosomal RNA (863 nucleotides) under uncultured bacterium. RNAcentral describes it as "bacterial SSU rRNA". It matches the Rfam family "Bacterial small subunit ribosomal RNA", at positions 8 to 898 of the family's 1533-position model. The record is from RNAcentral.